This 253-nucleotide ribosomal RNA is filed under the name uncultured bacterium. RNAcentral's name for it is "partial 16S ribosomal RNA". It matches the Rfam family "Bacterial small subunit ribosomal RNA", at positions 524 to 776 of the family's 1533-position model. The record is from RNAcentral.
GACAGAGGGUGCAAACGUUGUUCGGAAUUACUGGGCGUAAAGCGUGUGUAGGCGGCCCGCUAAGUCGGGUGUGAAAGCCCUGGGCUCAACCCAGGAAGUGCACUCGAAACUGGCGGGCUAGAGUAUCGGAGAGGUUGGUGGAAUUCUCGGUGUAGAGGUGAAAUGCGUAGAGAUCGGGAGGAACACCAGAGGCGAAGGCGGCGACCUGGACAGGUACUGACACUCAACUACGAAAGCGUGGGGAGCAAACAGG